CCUACGGGGGGCAGCAGUGAGGAAUAUUGGUCAAUGGCCGGAAGGCUGAACCAGCCAAGCCGCGUGAAGGACGAAGGUGCCACGCAUUGUAAACUUCUUUUGUCAAGGGAUAAAAUCAGGCACGAGAGCCUGACUGAGGGUACUUGAUGAAAAAGCAUCGGCUAACUCCGUGCCAGCAGCCGCGGUAAUACGGAGGAUGCGAGCGUUAUCCGGAUUUAUUGGGGUUAAAGGGUGCGUAGGCGGGCUGUUAAGUCAGCGGUAAAAGCUUGGGGCUCAACCGCCGCCGAGCGAUUGAAACUGGCUGUGUUGAGAGGACUGGAGGUAUGCGGAAUGCGCGGUGUAGCGGUGAAAGGCUUAGAUAUUACGAAGAACGCCGAUUGCGAAGGCAGCAUAC
This 394-nucleotide ribosomal RNA is filed under the name uncultured bacterium. Its description in RNAcentral is "partial 16S ribosomal RNA". It matches the Rfam family "Bacterial small subunit ribosomal RNA", at positions 338 to 729 of the family's 1533-position model. The record is from RNAcentral.